Firmicutes bacterium CAG:129_59_24 is the source of this 129-nucleotide non-coding RNA. The record is from Rfam. Lineage: Bacteria; Bacillati; Bacillota.
AUAUACUAUUCGAGCGUUCCAAAGACAGCAGGUGAGAUUCGUCUCGUAAGUCCUGCCGAGGAUGGCAAACAUUUAUUGAUUGCUUUACCGUCCUCAUGUCCUGCAUGAGGACGGUUUCCUUUUUAGAAC